This 461-nucleotide ribosomal RNA is filed under the name uncultured bacterium. RNAcentral's name for it is "bacterial SSU rRNA". It matches the Rfam family "Bacterial small subunit ribosomal RNA", at positions 341 to 786 of the family's 1533-position model. The record is from RNAcentral.
UAGGAAGGCAGCAGUGGGGAAUAUUGCACAAUGGGCGAAAGCCUGAUGCAGCUAUGCCGCGUGUAUGAAGAAGGCCUUAGGGUUGUAAAGUACUUUCAUCGGGGAGGAAAAAACAAAAACUAAUAAUUUUAUUUUCUUUGACGUUACCCGAAAAAGAAGCACCGGCUAACUCCGUGCCAGCAGCCGCGGUAAUACGGAGGGUGCUAGCGUUAAUCAGAAUUACUGGGCGUAAAGAGCACGUAGGUGGUUUUUUUUAAGUUCAGAUGUGAAAUCCCUGGGCUUAACCUAGGAACUGCAUUUUGAAACUGAAAUACUAGAGUAUCGUAGAGGGAGGUAGAAUUCUAGGUGUAGCGGUGAAAUGCGUAGAUAUCUGGAGGAAUACCUGUGGCGAAAGCAGCCUCCUAAACGAAUACUGACACUGAGGUGCGAAAGCGUGGGGAGCAAACAGGGAUUAGGAUACC